UGGGGAAUCUUGGACAAUGGGGGCAACCCUGAUCCAGCCAUGCCGCGUGAGUGAUGAAGGCCUUAGGGUCGUAAAGCUCUUUCGCCUGUGAAGAUAAUGACGGUAGCAGGUAAAGAAACCCCGGCUAACUCCGUGCCAGCAGCCGCGGUAAUACGGAGGGGGUUAGCGUUGUUCGGAAUUACUGGGCGUAAAGCGCACGUAGGCGGACCAGAAAGUUGGGGGUGAAAUCCCGGGGGCUCAACCCCGGAACUGCCUCCAAAACUAUUGGUCUAGAGUUCGAGAGAGGUGAGUGGAAUUCCAAGUGUAGAGGUGAAAUUCGUAGAUAUUUGGAGGAACACCAGUGGCGAAGGCGGCUCACUGGCUCGAUACUGACGCUGAGGUGCGAAAGUGUGGGGAGCAAACAGGAUUAGAUACCCUGGUAGUCCACACCGUAAAACGAUGAAUGCCAGUCGUCGGGUAGCAUGCUAUUCGGUGACACACCUAACGGAUUAAGCAUUCCGGCCUGGGGAGUACGGUCGCAAGAUUAAAACUCAAAGGAAUU
RNAcentral lists this ribosomal RNA (541 nucleotides) under uncultured bacterium. RNAcentral's name for it is "bacterial SSU rRNA". It matches the Rfam family "Bacterial small subunit ribosomal RNA", at positions 355 to 911 of the family's 1533-position model. The record is from RNAcentral.